Molecule: ribosomal RNA, 253 nt
Filed under: uncultured bacterium
Lineage: Bacteria
Description: partial 16S ribosomal RNA
Rfam family: Bacterial small subunit ribosomal RNA
Source: RNAcentral
UACGGAGGGUGCAAGCGUUAAUCGGAAUUACUGGGCGUAAAGGGCGCGUAGGCGGCCUGUUAAGUCGAACGUGAAAUCCCCGGGCUCAACCCGGGAACUGCGUCCGAUACUGGCAGGCUUGAAUCCGGGAGAGGGAUGUGGAAUUCCAGGUGUAGCGGUGAAAUGCGUAGAUAUCUGGAGGAACACCGGUGGCGAAGGCGGCAUCCUGGACCGGUACUGACGCUGAGGUGCGAAAGCGUGGGGAGCAAACAGG